Molecule: non-coding RNA, 4783 nt
Organism: Macaca mulatta (Rhesus monkey)
Lineage: Eukaryota; Metazoa; Chordata; Mammalia; Primates; Cercopithecidae
Source: RefSeq, a predicted model, not a curated record
UUGGAAAAAAGAAAAAAAAAAAAACAAUUAUCAGUGAUGGAAACAACAUUUUCAUCUUCUGCAAUUUCCCUGGGCUUUCUGUCCCUACCCCAAGUCCACCUUCUCAGGAUUCAGACGCGACUCCUCCCUCAGCUGACAAAAGGCUGCGCGAGAGCCAUUAACAGAGACGUCUCUGGCCUUCGCUAUUAGCCCACAAUUUGCUGUGCUGGAUUUGCCAGUAAUUUAUUUGCCCUGCCAAAUUACUAGAGUUCACAUAGUUGGCAGUAGUUUGGAGGGAACGGAUCUCCCAGCAACACCUGACAGGAAAACAAAUAGGAACCAGAAACCCUUUGGUCCCGGUGGUGCUCCAUGUCCCCUGCUUUGCCAAAUCUCUCUGCAAGCCAGUUAUUCUUUGAAAAGGGAGAGAGUGGAUGAAGUCCAGAAAGAGUCACACUCACAUCAUCCCAGACAUUCUAAGAAAUGUGACUGGGCCAGUAUAAGCCCUAUUGAAGCUUUUGCAUAAACUCCCGGUUCAAUCUCCCCCUUGGCAUGCAAAACAGCUCUGAUUCCAACACUGUGAAUAGAAGCUGCCCACUGACUGUCCUCAGAGACCAUCUCUCACACCCCAGGAAACUCUAUUGUUGAAUCAAAAACUCAUUCGAAUAAUGAGUAACUUCAGGCCUGGCCAUUUGUAGGGGGAGAGGCCAAAAAAAAAAAAAAACAAAAAAAAAGAUCCAAUGCUAAUAUAGAAGAAUGCUAGGCAAUGGAAAAAAAAAUCACAGUCACUUGCCUCCACAAAGCAGGUAAAAAACUGUUGUGUAGUAGUUUUGUGGUCUUUGGAAGCCCUUCAGAGUUUUCUUAUUAAAAAUAGUAAAAGAUGAGUAUACAAGACGGAGGGCAGAAGCAGCGGUUUUCGUGCUGGGGUCCCUCUCUGCGAUUUCAGAGGGACCACAAAGAGCCCAGUCAUUCUACACUUGGCAGGUCCUCAGUGGGAAAGUAGCCCUGUCUCUCCUCCAGCCUCUGGACAUGCAGGUUGCUUGCGUGCUAUUUGUGUUUUGAUUGACAAGUGUAUGCUCUGUCUAGAUACGCAGAAACGCAUCUCUUGAAAAGAUGCUUCAAAAGAGCAGCUGUCUGGAAAGAUGAAGCAAUGCCAGGGUGGUUCAAGAAGCAAUCCAAAUACCAGUCACGGAAGUAAACAUGAACAGAUGAGGCCAACACUGCAAUAAGGAGACUCACUCUAGGAUCCCAUGGUGCACUGGGGACAAUGAGAUACAUUAUUUCUUUUUCUUUGUUUUUCAUUAAGAGAUUAUCCAAUCAAGAAUUAUUGUCUUUUAAGGAAUGAUCUUGGUUUAUAGCAUUUGUGCCUGUCAUACUGUUUUCAAAUUUAAGAGAAAAAAAAAUUACUUUACUUUCCAUUCUCUCAAACACUUUAGCAUGGUGUUCAGGGUCCUUAAUGACCUUGUGCCACAUUCUCUCGCCUUCCACCCACGGAAAGUCUCUGUCGCCCAUACAGCCUGUAUAGCAAAGUCCGUGUCCACAAUUCCUUAAACAUGCAUAAACCUUCACUUCACUUAUUCCUUUUUUUUUUCCUUUCUUGCAACCCCACUGGAUCAAAUCAUACUCCUUGUUUCAUUGUUCAAGGCCUAGCCAAAUUAAUCUCUUCUUUGGGGAGACCCAAAUGCCUUCCUAAGUAGAAUGUAUUCCUGAAAGUGUGAUCUUUGGCAGACUGUAAUAGUCGCACUACAGAUUUGCCCUCAUAUGUAAAAGUCCAUUGUUUAUAGGUCUCUCUUACUCUACUACGACGUUUCGGCGGACUGAUCUGUAUCUUAUUCACAUACUCCCUACCCACUCAUUAAAUGUUUGCUGAAUGAAUGUGUGAACAAAAGAGAGACAGAAUCUAUCUCUUUGUUCUCUCACAUUUUCACUGUCUUUUGUUUUAGAGAAAAGAAAAAUCUACAGUCCAGAGAAAUUCAGUCUUUCCCUGCAUUGCCAAAGCUGCAAACACAGAAUUAAUGGAACAGCCUCGCUGGCUCCAUGGACAUACGUAGUGUUAGGACAGCUAUUGUGUGUUUCCACCACUGACAAGAAUCAGAGAGAAGAAUGAUCAAAAGAAGGAUGAUCCCCCCACAGAUGUGCAAGAGUAAGACACCUGACUUCAACACAGGCAAUAUAAUCAUUCCCUGAGAGUUUGAAUUUGAGGCCAAAACAAACAAACUUGAGGGAAGUCUCUCUUCCUCUAAUGGUUGAAAUAUAGAGUAUAAAACUUCCCCACGUGAAGGAACUGAUCAGCAGUGAGAAAGAAAGAAGCUGAGAUGCAACACGAAGCAGAGGUUAGUGAAGACAGAAAGCAGAGCCCCAGCCUCCAGAGAGAAGAGACCGAAAGAAGGAUGAUCCCCCCCGCAGAUGUGCAAGUGACUAAUUCGGUCAAGAAGAAAACCAGGCCUCCCUCACAGGGUUGAGAGAAGAUAGCACCAGCCAGCCUUGUAGCCUGAGAAGCUGUCUCCUCACCAGAUAUUCUGAAUUAUGUUUUCCUGACUCUACAAGUUUUUUCUUCAUGAAGAGUUCCCUGUUAGAGACGUUGCUGCACAUCUACCUGGUGAAGGCAUAAUUUUAUCACUCUUAUGAUUAAUCACUUUAUAGGAUGAAUUGACCUCUUCAGUUUUUGUAAAAAUGACACAUUUAUAUGUUUUAUCACAGUAAAAAAAAAAAAAAAAUCAAAAUAACAUGAUGUACUGAAAAAUCAUGAAGAGAUGCCUCAAAUCUAUUUUUAAAAUUCUGGGAAACCAGAUAUUUGGAGAAAUUAUUUAAAUCACAGUGAAAAGACACAUCAUUUACUGGUUAAAACUUGGCAUGCUUUAAUAAUGCAACAGGGUUUAUAGGUCCUGAGACCCUUCCACUAAUCUUUCUAAUGGUAUAAACUAUGUUCAGGGCUGCCAUUUCCCAAAGGACUGAGGACUAAGCAGAGAAGAGCCAGUCUCUAAUCAUGGUCUAAAGACUUCAAAGAGGGUCAUCUUCUGGCUUCUUUCUCUCUGCUCUGGUUCCCAGCAACCAGCCGUGCUGUAGACUUUUCACUAUCUCUGAGGGAGGGACACCCAGUCGAUCACAUUCAUGCUCAGUUAAUUUGGUUUUUUUUUUCUUUCUUUCUUUUUUGUAGAAUCCAAUGGCUAUUAGCCCUUAGGGGAAACCAUACAGCAGCAAAAGCCACAAAGGCAAGAUAGAAGGCUUUGCUAUGUACCCUAUAGACAGCACUACUUUUCUCAGAUUCCAACCCUCAUCCUGAUUUCACCUUGAUCCUUUGUAAAACUGUGCCUCGAUUUUCACUUUGUGCUUUCAGGAUAAAAGGGUCUUAGGCCUAACUCAGUUUACCAAUACUCCAGCACCCAUUCUAAGUAUGUGCUAUCCUGGUGCCUGUAGCAUGGCACUCCUGGAGGUCAGACUAUGUUUUCUCACCUUUUUAUACCUGGGACUGGCAUACUGGAGGCCUCAGUGAGUUUAUAAAAGAAGGGAGAAGGGAAAGGAGGGAGGCAGAGGACUGCAUCCAGACAUAUAGAAUAUGUGAACGUUAUUCAGUAAAUUUUUGAAACAUCUUUGUUCAUGUACUACGUAUUUAAUUUUUUCACCCAAGAAAAGAACAUAAGAAAGUGCCAAAGAUCACAAACUACAAUUUGAUACCAGUGAAAUAAAGACCAGUCAUAACAAUAACAAAGUGGGAUUUACACCUUAAAAUGCUUUAUUCUCACCCUGACAUUCUAAUUUUUGUAGCAUGUCUUGAAAAUAAUAGGCAGUGAUCCCAUUAAUAUUUUUCAACUGCAAAAAUCUGAAGAUUUGAGUAUGAUAAUGAGCAUGAUAAGAAACAGUAUGUUUAUUCAGUCUUGAAGGAUCUCUCCACAACUUAUUUACAGCAAAGGGGAAAAUAGUACCUUCACAGUGGCAGACACCACCUUAGCAAAGUGAGCAAAGCUCACGUCACUAGCAGGUACAUGUAUCAACACGACAUACUCCCUGAUAAGAUGCACCGAGUUGGGAGGCUUGAAGUCAGGAGUUCAAAACCAGCCUGGCCAAUAGAGUGAAACCCUGUCUCUAGUAAAAAUACAAAAGUUAACGGGGCGUGGUGGCACGUGCCUGUAGUUCCAGCUACUCAGGAUGCUGAGGCAGAAGAAUCACUUGGAUCUGGGAGGUUGAGGUUAUGUGAGCCGAGAUCGCACCACAGCACUCCAGUCUGGGCAACAAAGUGAGACUCCAUCUCAAAAAACAAAACAAAACAAAGAUGCACCGAGUAGGGCACAGUAUCACUAUUGUCAUAUUCUUGCUGAAAACGCAUAAUCAAUUUGAUCAUGAGGAAAACACAGACAAACCCAAACAGAGGGAAAGUUUACAAAAUAACUAACUCUUAUUUUUCACAAGUGUCAUAAAAGUUCAAGAAAGACUGAGAAAUUGUCCCAGAAUGGGAGAGACUAAGAGGUUGGGGCAACUAAAUGAAAUGUGUGAUCCUUCAGAAAUUUUUUAAUAAGGUCUAUAGAUUAGUUAAUAGUAUCACAUCAUGUUAAUUUCUUGGUUUUUCUCAUUAUAUAAAUAUUAUGUAUCACGUUAACGUUUGGGAGGCUGGGUGAAAGGUAUAUUGGAAUUCUUUGUACUAUUCUAUUACUUUGUUGUCUAUCUGAAAUUAUUUUAAACAAAUAGUUAAAUUUUUUAAAUUAAACAAUUCUAAACAUGUAGAUAUUAGAUUUCAGUGCACAUCUGUGAGCACUGAAUCUGUGGGCAUAUUCUUGAGAAAAAGCAAAUAAAGAUUGUAAAGUUGCUGGUG